AUUGCUUCACUCUACGUGGCAUUUCUUAAAAUCUAAAAAAAUAUUUUAUUAAUUAAUUUCGUAUUUUUUAAACAAAUAAUUAAUUAAUUAAUUAAUCAUUUCAUGGAAAAUUAAUGAUUACUAUUUCAAUUUAAUAAUUAUUCAUUAUGAUUUCUAUAAUUUCAUACAAAAUAAUCAUUAAUAAUUAACAAAUUUAAAAUUUCAUACAAAUUAAUUUCAUGCUAAUUAAUUAAAUUGUAUUAAGAUUAAUUAAAUAUUUUUAAAAUUAAAUUAUUAAAUAUUAAUUAGUAACAAAUUAUUUUAUUUCAUGCAAAUUAACUAAUAUUUAAUAAUUAAUUAAUAUUCAAUUUAAUAAGUCAAUUGUUAAUUACAUGUAAAUUGAUUAAAUCAUUAUAAUGAUAAUUAAUUUACAAAUUAAUCAUUAUUAUUUCAAUUUAAUAAUUAGUUAAUUAAAUUUUUAUUUCAAUUAAUAAAUUAAUCAUUUCAUUUUACAGUAAAUUUAAUAAAUUAAAAAUUAGUUAAUUAAAGAAAUAAAUUUAAAUUUUUACCGCAAUAUAGGUUUCCAAUCCGAAUUUCACAAAAAAUCAGUUUUCAGAACCUACAACGUACAAGUAUAAAACAAAAUAAUUAAUUAAAUUAAUUUUUAAAUUAUAUAAAACAAUAGAAUUAUUUAAUUAUUUAAAAAUAUUAUUAAUUCUUUAAUUAAAAACAGUAAAUAAAAUACAGAUUUUAUGUUAUUUUUAAAAUUACUUAAAAACAAUAAAUUAUUUAUUUAUUUAUUUAAAGAAAAUAUUAACUAUUUAAAAACACUAAUUUGUUUUAAUAAUUCAAUAAUAACAGUAAUUAUUAUUUCAAUUAAAUACACUUUCAUUUAAUUAAAAAACAUUAAAACAGUAAAUUAAUUACUUGAAUAUCAUUUAAUUAAAACAGUAAAUUAUAUUUAAAUAUCAUUAAUUAUUUGAAUUCAUGCAAAUUAAUUAAUUACAUUCAUACAAAAACACAUUAAUUAUUUUAUAUGAAUUUUAAAUUAUUUAAAAACAUAAAUUAAUUAAUUAUUUUCAUUAUUUUUAAAAUAAUUUAAAAACAGAAAAUAAUUAAAACAAAUUAUUUCUUAAUUUCAAACAUGAAAAACAUUAAUUAUUUAACUAUACAAUUUUACGAAUUGUUGAUUUUUUUAAACCUACAUCAAGUCAACAACACAAUAAUUAAUUAGUUAAUUAUGUCAAUUAUUUAUUUAAUUAAAUCAAUUUAUAAAUUUUUUAAAAACAAUCAAUUCAAUAAUUAAUUAAAACUAUUAUAAACAGUAAAUUAAAUAUAUAAUUCAUAAAUUAUUUUUCUAAAUUAUUAAAAAUACAUUAAUUGACAUAUACAAAUCAACUAAUUUCAAACAAUCAAAAUUAUUCCAUAUACCAAUUUCAAACAUUUACAAUUUCAUUUCAUUCCAUAUACCAAAAUAUCAUUUCAUCAAAAUCAUCAUAUCAUAAAACAAAUCAACUAAAUCAUUACAUUCAAACAUAUCAAAACCAUAUCACAUUACAUUAAAACAAAUCAACUAAAAAUAUCAUUACAUUUAAACAAAUCAACUAAAAAUAUCAUUACAUUUAAACAAAUCAAAACCAUUACAUUAAAAUAUAUCAUAAAAACAAUCAACUAAAAGAUAGAUGAUAUACAAAUAUCUAACAUCCAUAUAUAGAUUACAACAUCAAUUUUCAUAUCAUUUCUAUCAUUUAUAAAACACUUCAUUAACAUCAUUUCUAUCAUUUCUAUCAUUACAUUCCAAACAUCUAAACAUUUCUAUCAUUUUUAUCUAACAAAUUUAUAAAACAUCAUAAAACACUAACAUUAUCAUCUAAACAUCUAAACAUCCAAACAUCCAAACACUAACAAAUAUAUAGAUUAAAACACAUGAUUUACCUAAAACAUCCAAACAUCCAAUCAUCUAAAACAAAUUCAUAAAAUACAAAUAUCAAUUAACAUCAAAAAAUGGAAGAAAUCAUACCUUCACACCACGGAAACGAAGACCGGCGGGAGGGGAUGACGACGGCGAGGGGACGACGGCGACGGGACGACAGCGAGGGGACGACGGCGACGGGACGACGGCAAGUGAUCGACGACGACGACGACGACGGCAGUUGGCAGACGGUGGCAGACGGCAGCGGCGGCGAUUGGGGAGAGGAGAAAUCGAUUUGAACACAGACAGUGGCGUCUGUCGAUUUGGGGUUUUUUAUUAAACCCCAAAACUUACAUGGCGGAUCCGCCAUGUAAGUACACUUAAGUGCCGCCAUGUAAGGUGGAAAAGUCCGCCCAAUCGAAAUUUGGGCGGGCUUUUUCCGCCCGGCUCCCCGAAUACUUAACAUGGCGGAUGUCCGCCAUAUUAAGUCAAUUUAAUCGGGUAAUCGGGUUAUUGUUUGGGGGAGAUUCGAAAUUUUGGGCGGGAUAGUUUAGAUGGCGGAUUUCCUCCAUCUAAACACCGCCAUCGAAAACAAUUUCGAACCGCCGUCGAGCCAAAACCUUUCCUCGGCAGACUCAAAGAAUAGAUGGCGAACAUCCGCCAUCUAAACAACUGAAGUAUUGAUGGCGGAAAUCCGCCAUCUAAAGGCCGCCAUACAAGGUCCUUUUUUUUGUAGUGGUGGCUGAAAUGUUGAAUCAGCAGAUCAUCAGGCCUAGCACCAACCCAUAUUCAUCUCCAAUACUACUAGUGAAAAAGAAAGAUGGGGGCUAUAGAUUAUGUGUGGAUUAUAGAGUUUUGAAUGCUCUAACUGUUAAAGACAAGUAUUCUAUUCCUACAGUGGAACUUCUAAGGGAACUUAAAAGAUCUAAUUUUUUUUCAAAAUUAGAUCUAAGAUCUGGAUUUCAUCAGAUCAGAGUUCAUCCACCUCACAUUGAAAGGACAGCAUUCAAAACCCACCAGGGGCACUUUGAAUUCCUAGUGAUGUCAUUUGGUCUCACAAAUGCAUUAACAACUUUCCAAUCAAUCAUGAAUUCGGUUUUUGCUAAAUAUUUAAGGAAAUUCGUUAUUAUAUUUUUUGACGAUAUAUUAGUGUUCAGCUCAUCCCUACAUGAUCACCUCACACAUUUACAGAAGGUAUUUGACACCUUGAGGGAGAACAGAUUAUUAGCAAAGCUGUCCAAAUGUUCCUUUGGUCAAGAUUCUAUGGGCUUUUUGGGUCAUAUCAUCAAGGCUGAUGGGGUGCAUCCGGAUCCGAAAAAAAUAAAAGCAAUGGUGGAGUGGGCUGUUCCAAAGAAUCUUAAAAUGCUAAGGGGAUUUUUGGGAUUGACUGGCUACUAUAGGAGAUUCAUUAAGAGCUAUGCCCAAAUAGCUGCUCCUAUGACAGAUUUAUUAAAAAAGGAUGCUUUAAUUUAAGUGGAGUGACAUAGCCCAAUGUAGCUUUGAAAAUUUAAAACAGCCAUGGUGUCAGCUCCAGUACGUAUUAGGAUACCCUGAUUUUAGUCAACAAUUCAUUGUUAGAUAGAUGCUUGCAACAAUGGGGUAGGGGCAAUAUUAAUUCAGAACAAGCAUCCUACAUCAUUCUUCAGCAGAAAGAUAGUUGGUAAGCUCAGUUCAGCAACAAUAUAUGCGAAAGAAAUGUAUACGAUAAUACAAGCAGUAGCCAAGUGGAGACACUACUUAUUGGGAUCUCAUUUCAUAAUUAAGACUGACCACAGAAGUCUGAAAAAUCUCUUAACUCAGAUAAUCCAGACUCCAGAACAACAAGUGUUCCUUGUAAAAUUGUUGGGAUUCGAUUUUAGCAUACUAUAUAAACCAGGCAAGGAAAAUAUUGUAGUUGAUGCUUUAUCCAGAUCAUUUGAAGAAGGAGAGAGUGAAGAAAUUAUAUUUUCCAGUGGAUCUGAAGAUGAACCAAGAUCAUUACUAUCUUUUUCUAUAUCAAUCAAUUCUAUGCUAGAAGAUAUUAAGAAAGAAAAUGAAAAAGAUCCUGAGGUGCAGAGCAUUAUUCAGACAUCAUUGGAGGAAGGCCAAGAUUUCAACGGUUUUCAGGUAAAAUCAGGAAUUUUAUUCUUUAAGAGCAGAUAUUACUUAAAGAAUAAUUCAGUUUUUAUUCCUAAAAUUCUAGAAGAGUUUCAUGAUUCACUAGUAGAAGGUCAUGCUGGUAUAAUGAAGAUAAAGAAAAGAGUAUGCAAACUAUUUUAUUGGCCUAAGAUGGGGUUGGAAGUUGGAUAUACAUAAUUAUGUGAAAGAUUGUGUAAUUUGCCAAAAAAUGAAGCCUUCCAACCAAAAGCCUUCAGGCCUACUCAUGCCUCUACCUAUUCCGUCUACAAUAUGGAAAGAUGUAACCAUGGACUUUAUAACUGACCUACCUAAAAGGGAAGGAAAAUUUGUAAUAAUGGUGGUAGUGGAUAGGUUAUCCAAAUAUGCCCAUUUCAGUGCACUACCUCCAAACUUCAAUGCUAUCCAGGUAGCUGAGGUGUUUCUGAAAAAUAUCUUUAAGUUACAUGGAAUACCCACCUCAAUAGUAUCAGAUAGAGAUAGAAUAUUCACUUCCAAAUUUUGGAAGGAACUACACAAAUUGAGUGGAACCAAACUGUCCUAUUCUUCAUCAUACCAUCCCGAAACUGAUGGCCAAACAGAGGUGGUAAAUAAAACCUUAGAAAUGUAUCUAAGGUCAUACGGUCAUGAUGACCCAAAGCAGUGGCUAGGAUUACUGCCAUGGACAGAAUUAUGGUAUAAUUCGGGGUACCACUCUUCCAUUGAGAUGUCUCCAUUCAAAGUUGUUUAUGGUAAAGAAGCUAAUGAACUACCACAUUAUAAGGAAGGAGAUUCACAAAUAGAAUCAGUUGAUAUGAUGCUAAUUCUGAGAGAAGAAACAUUGGCAGCUAUAAAAAGAAAUUUAUUGAAGACUCAAGCAAGAAUGAAGCUUCAAGUUGAUAAAAAGAGGUUUGAGGUGAGAUUUGAAGUGGGUGCAUGGAUCUUAGUAAAAUUACAGCCAUACAGACAGAUUUCAGUGGCAAGCAGAUUACAUAAUAAAUUGUGCCAAAAAUAUUUUGGUCCUUAUAUGAUUAAAAGAGUGAUAAAUAAAGCUGCAUACAAACUAAAACUACCUGAAGGAAGCAGAAUACAUAGUACAUUCCAAGUGUCAAGGUUGAAGGCAUUUUGAGGUCCAAUAUCUGAAAAUCAGUCCGGAAAAGAUUCAGUAAUAGCCAUCAAAAAUCAACCAAUCAGUUACCCAAUUGCAAUACUGGAUAGCAGGAUCAUAUGGCAAGCCAAAGAAAAAGUUAAACAAGUUCUAAUUCAGUGGAACGGGGCAUUACCUGAAGACUCAUCUUGGGAGUCAGUGGCGGAUAUCGCAAGCAGAUUUCCUUCUCUAAACCUUGAGGACAAGGUCGUUUCAGAAGAGGGUAGUGAUGAUACGAUGAUUAUCGGCUUUGAGACAAUAUCUAAGGAUUUACAACAAGCUAUUGAAAGAGGGGACACAGAAUCCCUAGCUGAGAAUAUUUUGGGGGAGAACGAGGGUUCACAACAAUUCAACUCCCAUGAACCGGCUCUGGUUCAAGCUAAAGGAAUUCGACCAGAAAGAAUUAAGAAGAGGCUGGACCAUCUUCAAGACUUCGUUGUGGGCUGAAACAUUAACCCAACAACGUUAGUUAUUUUUUUAAAUAAAUUGCAAACAGACCUGAAGUUAAUUUUAAGUUGUAAUAGGUCUUAGUUAUAAACUCUCUAAUGAUUGAGGAAAUCUUUAUCGAAAAUUGAACCAAAUUCUAAUCUCCUAUCAAUUCCACAAAAACACAACCCUACAUCCGGCAGUUCUGUCGAGUACUCCUCCGUUCAUCUUCUCUAUCACUGCCGGUCUUCUCAACAGUCAGCCGCAUUGAGCUCUCUGCUGAUUUGCUUAAC
RNAcentral lists this long non-coding RNA (5851 nucleotides) under Zostera marina. RNAcentral's name for it is "long non-coding RNA (ZMAR_LNC000513)". Lineage: Eukaryota; Viridiplantae; Streptophyta; Magnoliopsida; Alismatales; Zosteraceae. The record is from RNAcentral.